GGGGGUGAAUGGUUUCGACGGGGAUGCAAAGGCUUGGGUAGUGGCAGGCCGGGUGCCAACCCGUAAAAGGCACUGUAAAUAGCUGCCGACGAAACACUCGCUCUCGCCGCCUAAGUAAACGCGGCGACGUCCCCCGGAGCUCCGCCUGCCGGCUCCGGGUAGGGCGACAGAGAGGCGGGCUGGGCUACUUCCCGCGCCCUCCGGGGGUAGCCGAGAGCUAAGAGGGCUGGCUCUGGGACGCCUGCCCGUGGGCUAAUCCCAGAGCGAGAGGCCAAAACACGGGCUAAGCCUGUAGAAGCUACCCGAGCCGCAUCUCCGGACGCGGGUUCGAAUCCCGCCACCUCCACCA
This 349-nucleotide transfer-messenger RNA is filed under the name Desulfurobacteriaceae. RNAcentral's name for it is "Phorcysia sp003978805 Standard tmRNA". It matches the Rfam family "transfer-messenger RNA". Rfam says of the family: Bacterial tmRNA, also known as 10Sa RNA or SsrA, is named for its dual tRNA and mRNA-like properties. Its role is to liberate the mRNA from a stalled ribosome. RNAcentral also lists the same sequence under 1 other name. Lineage: Bacteria; Pseudomonadati; Aquificota; Aquificia; Desulfurobacteriales. The record is from RNAcentral.